UUCACUAGUUAUGGACCUGGUGGGACUGACACAGUCUGUGGCCAUGGUCACUGGGGAAAACAUCAACAGUGUAGAGCCUGCACAACCCUUAAGUCCAAACCAGGGAAGAGUAGCUGUGGUUAUUAGACCUCCCCUCACUCAGGGCAAUCUGAGGUACAUAGCUGAGAAGACUGAAUUUUUCAAGCAUGUAGCUUUAACAUUGUGGGACCAGUUGGGAGAUGGGACACCUCAGCAUCACCAGAAGAGUGUGGAACUAUUUUAUCAAUUACAUAACUUAGUUCCUUCUUCUAGCAUCUGUGAGGAUGUUAUAAGUCAGCAGUUAACCCAUAAAGAUAAGAAAAUAAGGAUGGAAGCACAUGCCAAGUUUGCAGUUCUUUGGCAUCUAACGAGAGAUCUCCAUAUAAAUAAAUCUUCAUCUUUUGUACGUUCUUUUGACAGGUCAGUUACAUUUUAUAUUAAGAUUUUACAAUCAGAUAUCUUAAUGUUGCCUCUUCCCUUGAGUCUAGAUUGGCAAGUGUAGGAGAUAGCAAUUUACAAAUUUUAUAAAGAGAAUUUAUUAUUUUGAAAACCAUAAGCUGUAUUAAAAUGCAUGGCAUUUUUACUCAUCCACCAGGUUUUUACUUU
RNAcentral lists this small RNA (624 nucleotides) under Pan troglodytes (chimpanzee). RNAcentral describes it as "retained intron". Lineage: Eukaryota; Metazoa; Chordata; Mammalia; Primates; Hominidae. The record is from RNAcentral.